UAAGCUUCGGAUCCAAAACUGC
This 22-nucleotide non-coding RNA is filed under the name Arabidopsis thaliana (thale cress). Lineage: Eukaryota; Viridiplantae; Streptophyta; Magnoliopsida; Brassicales; Brassicaceae. The record is from RNAcentral.